AUGACGGUGCUGGGAUUAAGUGGUCUACCCAUCAAGAAGAUUCCAGAUGAUAUUGGACAUCUUUUUAAUCUCCGCCAUUUAGGUUUGCGUAAUUCAAAAGUGAAGAUGCUUCCAAAAUCCAUCGAGAAGCUCUCAAAUUUGUUGACACUAGACCUUCAUGGAUCAGACAUACGUGAGUUGCCUAGUUGGAUUACCAAACUGAAGAAGCUCCGACACUUAUUUGUUGAGAAACAAUUUCAGCCAUAUAGAGAGAUUCAAAGUAACAAUGGUGUGCGUAUCCCCAAUGGUCUUGGAAAUCUAACAAACUUACAGACAUUGGAAGCGCAAGCUACAUCUGUUAGACAGUUAGGGGAGCUAACACAACUGAGAAGCUUGAGGUUAUGGAAUGUCAAGGAAAUUGACUGUAGAUGCAUUAGUGAUUCUCUAGUUCAGAUGCGACAUUUGUCCAACCUAUAUGUGAGUGCAAGUGAUGACAACGAGAUUUUGUUGCUGAAUUUACGCCUGCCAAGCCUGCAAAAGUUAUCUUUGAUAGGACGGCUAGUGAGAAGAACAUUGCACAAGUCUCCUCUCUUCCAAGCUGUCGAAGGGCAAAACUUGUAUUCAUUAGCUCUAUCUUGGUCACAACUGACAGAAGACCCCCUUCCAUACUUAUCUCCAUUGUCCAAUUUGACAUAUCUACAGUUCACCAGAGCAUACACUGGAGAGAAGUUGACAUUUCUCACUGGAUGGUUUCCCAAGAUAAAGUUUCUCCAUCUAAGAGACAUGCCUAAUUUGAAUAGGCUAGAGAUAGAACAAGGUACCAUGGUGAGCCUGGAAAGAUUAGCACUAGUCAACCUCGAGAGCAUGAUGGAGGUUCCACUUGGCAUCAAGUUCCUCAUGCCCCUCCAAUAUGUAGGCUUCCACGAAAUCACCGGUUACUUCUUGAUGUUGCUCCACCAAUGUUCUGCGAUUCGAGGGACGCAAUGGGGGUAUAGUCUCCGACGUUGA
This 987-nucleotide ribosomal RNA is filed under the name Triticum aestivum (bread wheat). Its description in RNAcentral is "partial small subunit ribosomal RNA". The record is from RNAcentral. Lineage: Eukaryota; Viridiplantae; Streptophyta; Magnoliopsida; Poales; Poaceae.